GCCGCGGUAGCUUAGCGGAAGAGCGCGUGGCUGUUAACCACGAGGUCGUCGGUUCAAAGCCUUUUGCGCCAAUGCACGUAAGUAAACGCGCAAAAGCCUCUAGGGAAAGUCCGCCUGUGCACGGAAAUGCCGGGCAUUUCCGGCCGCGAACCUCGAGAAUCCGACCCGCGGCGCCA
This 176-nucleotide transfer RNA is filed under the name Candidatus Aenigmatarchaeota archaeon. RNAcentral's name for it is "tRNA-Asn". The stretch from base 1 to 71 matches the Rfam family "tRNA". The record is from RNAcentral. Lineage: Archaea; Nanobdellati; Candidatus Aenigmatarchaeota.